GCUGGGCGUGGUGGCUCACGCCUGUAAUCCCAGCACUUUGGGAGGCCGAGGCGGGUGGAUCACUUGAGGUCAGGAGUUCGAGACCAGCCUGACCAACAUGGUGAAACCCCAUCUCUA
This 117-nucleotide non-coding RNA is filed under the name Homo sapiens (human). The record is from Rfam by way of RNAcentral. Lineage: Eukaryota; Metazoa; Chordata; Mammalia; Primates; Hominidae.